RNAcentral lists this ribosomal RNA (660 nucleotides) under uncultured fungus. RNAcentral's name for it is "eukaryotic LSU rRNA". The stretch from base 245 to 398 matches the Rfam family "5.8S ribosomal RNA". The record is from RNAcentral. Lineage: Eukaryota; Fungi.
CCAGCGGAGGGAUCAUUACCGAGUUUACAACUCCCAAACCCCAAUGUGAAACGUUACCAAUCUGUUGCCUCGGCGGGAUUCUCUGGCCCCGGGCGCGUCGCAAGCCCCGGAUCCCAUGGCGCCCGCCGGAGGACCAACUCCAAACUCUUUUCUCUCUCCGUCGCGGCUCCCGUCGCGGCUCUGGUUUUAUUUUUGCUCUGAGCCUUUCUCGGCGACCCUAGCGGGCGUCUCGAAAAUGAAUCAAAACUUUCAACAACGGAUCUCUUGGUUCUGGCAUCGAUGAAGAACGCAGCGAAAUGCGAUAAGUAAUGUGAAUUGCAGAAUUCAGUGAAUCAUCGAAUCUUUGAACGCACAUUGCGCCCGCCAGUAUUCUGGCGGGCAUGCCUGUCCGAGCGUCAUUUCAACCCUCGAACCCCUCCGGGGGGUCGGCGUUGGGGAUCGGCCCCUCACCGGGCCGCCCCCGAAAUACAGUGGCGGUCUCGCCGCAGCCUCUCAUGCGCAGUAGUUUGCACACUCGCACCGGGAGCGCGGCGCGGCCACAGCCGUAAAACACCCCAAAUUUUCUGAAAUGUUGACCUCGGAUCAGGUAGGAAUACCCGCUGAACUUAAGCAUAUCAAUAAGCGGAGGAAAAGAAACCAACAGGGAUUGCCCCAGUAACG